Molecule: long non-coding RNA, 227 nt
Filed under: Elaeis guineensis (African oil palm)
Lineage: Eukaryota; Viridiplantae; Streptophyta; Magnoliopsida; Arecales; Arecaceae
Description: long non-coding RNA (EGUI_LNC018070)
Source: RNAcentral
GAGUUGAAAUUUAAGUAGGCUUAUGAAUGAUCAAUGGUUAUGAAACUUUGGUGUAAACAUGGAAGCUAGGCCAUUUUGGGGUUACUUCACUAAGAAAUUUCCACAACUAAACAUAAAUCUCCACAACUAGGAGUAUUAACUAAUAGAGAUAACCAAAAUAUGAUAACUAAUAAAGCUCACAUUCACAUCCUUUAUGUAAAGAGAAACAUCAAACAAAACUUGGUUGG